GGAUGUGAGGUCAAUCUGGCUAUGACAUCCAUCCCCCCAUUCAUCACCAUGGUUAAUUCAGCUGAUCUUGCUGGCUAGGCACAUGUCCCCUGACCCCCUAAGUUUUCCAUGUGUGUCCCUCCCAAAGCUGCAUGCUCUUUCAAAGACAACCUUCCCAGAAUAGAGGACUCAUUUUCAGUCAAGGAUAUAUGCAUAGCUGUUCUCCCCUGCCAGAACCUCCAAACAAGCUCUCAAGAAUAAAAGAGGCAGGAUGUUUUAAGAGAAUAUUAGAAGCUGAACCCACAAAGUUAUUGAGGUACUCACUUUCUCAUGU
Molecule: small nuclear RNA, 313 nt
Filed under: Jaculus jaculus (lesser Egyptian jerboa)
Lineage: Eukaryota; Metazoa; Chordata; Mammalia; Rodentia; Dipodidae
Description: 7SK RNA (ENSJJAG00000004254.1)
Rfam family: 7SK RNA
About the family: 7SK was discovered as an abundant small nuclear RNA in the mid-70s but a possible function has only recently been suggested. Two independent studies have found that 7SK RNA binds the CDK9/cyclin T complex (known as elongation factor P-TEFb).
Source: RNAcentral